This 685-nucleotide ribosomal RNA is filed under the name Euthora sp. BMNH 671497. RNAcentral's name for it is "eukaryotic LSU rRNA". It matches the Rfam family "Eukaryotic large subunit ribosomal RNA", at positions 644 to 1286 of the family's 3401-position model. The record is from RNAcentral. Lineage: Eukaryota; Metazoa; Arthropoda; Insecta; Coleoptera; Scarabaeidae.
GGGACCCGUCUUGAAACACGGACCAAGGAGUCUAGCAUGUGCGCGAGUCAUUGGGACUCAGACUAAACCUAAAGGCGCAAUGAAAGUGAAGGCCCGCCUUGAGCCGGCCGAGGGAGGAUGGGCGGUCCCGAGGGGCCGCUCCGCACUCCCGGGGCGUCUCGCUCUCAUCGCGAGAAGAGGCGCACCCAGAGCGUACACGCUGGGACCCGAAAGAUGGUGAACUAUGCCUGGUCAGGACGAAGUCAGGGGAAACCCUGAUGGAGGUCCGUAGCGAUUCUGACGUGCAAAUCGAUCGUCGGAACUGGGUAUAGGGGCGAAAGACUAAUCGAACCAUCUAGUAGCUGGUUCCCUCCGAAGUUUCCCUCAGGAUAGCUGGCGCUCGCUUCUCGCGAGUCUCAUUCGGUAAAGCGAAUGAUUAGAGGCAUUGGGGUCGAAACGGCCUCAACCUAUUCUCAAACUUUAAAUGGGUGAGAUCUCCGGCUUGCUUGAACUGUGAAGCCGCGAGAUAUCGGAUCAGAGUGCCAAGUGGGCCACUUUUGGUAAGCAGAACUGGCGCUGUGGGAUGAACCAAACGCAGAGUUAAAGCGCCUAAAUCGACGCUUAUGGGAUACCAUGAAAGGCGUUGGUAACUUAAGACAGCAGGACGGUGGCCAUGGAAGUCGGAAUCCGCUAAGGAGUGUGUAAA